This 408-nucleotide ribosomal RNA is filed under the name uncultured bacterium. RNAcentral's name for it is "partial 16S ribosomal RNA". It matches the Rfam family "Bacterial small subunit ribosomal RNA", at positions 28 to 526 of the family's 1533-position model. The record is from RNAcentral.
GACGAACGCUGGCGGCGUGCUUAACACAUGCAAGUCGAACGGAGUGUCGAACGGGUGAGUAACACGUGGGUGAACUGCCUUGCACUUCGGGAUAAGCUUGGGAAACUGGGUCUUAUACCGGAUUUUGCAAGAUGAGCUCGCGGCCUAUCAGCUUGUUGGUGGGGUAAUGGCCUCUCAACGCGGCGACGGUUAGCCGGCCUGGGAGGGGGGACGGCGACAUUGGGACUGAGAUACGGCCCAGGCGCCUACGGGAGGCAGCAGUGGGGAAUAUGGCACAAUGGGCGGAAGCCUGAUACAGCGACGCCGCGUGGGUGAUGAAGGCCUUCGGGUUGUAAACUCCUUGCGACAGAGACGCGGUACCUGUAGAAGAAGCACCGGCUAACUACGUGCCAGCAGCCGCGGUAAUUC